Molecule: ribosomal RNA, 442 nt
Filed under: uncultured bacterium
Lineage: Bacteria
Description: partial 16S ribosomal RNA
Rfam family: Bacterial small subunit ribosomal RNA
Source: RNAcentral
CCUACGGGAGGCAGCAGUGGGGAAUAUUGGGCAAUGGGCGCAAGCCUGACCCAGCAACGCCGCGUGAAGGAAGAAGGCUUUCGGGUUGUAAACUUCUUUUGUCAGGGAAGAGUAGAAGACGGUACCUGACGAAUAAGCCACGGCUAACUACGUGCCAGGAGCCCCGGUAAUACGUAGGUGGCACGCUUUUUCCGGAUUUACUGGGUGUAAAGGGCGUGUAGCCGGGUUGACAAGUCAGAUGUGAAAUCCUGCGGCUUAACCGCAGAACUGCAUUUGAAACUGUUGAUCUUGAGUACUGGAGAGGCAGAUGGAAUUCCUAGUGUAGCGGUGAAAUGCGUAGAUAUUAGGAGGAACACCAGUGGCGAAGGCGGUCUGCUGGACAGCAACUGACGGUGAGGCGCGAAAGCGUGGGGAGCAAACAGGAUUAGAUACCCUGGUAGUC